AUUGAACGCUGGCGGCAGGCCUAACACAUGCAAGUCGAGCGGAUGAAGGGAGCUUGCUCCUGGAUUCAGCGGCGGACGGGUGAGUAAUGCCUAGGAAUCUGCCUGGUAGUGGGGGAUAACGUCCGGAAACGGGCGCUAAUACCGCAUACGUCCUGAUGGAGAAAGUGGGGGAUCUUCGGACCUCACGCUAUCAGAUGACCCUAGGUCGGAUUAGCUAGUUGGUGGGGUAAAGGCCUACCAAGGCGACGAUCCGUAACUGGUCUGAGAGGAUGAUCAGUCACACUGGAACUGAGACACGGUCCAAACUCCUACGGGAGGCAGCAGUGGGGAAUAUUGGACCAUGGGCGAAAGCCUGAUCCAGCCAUGCCGCGUGUGUGAAGAAGGUCUUCGGAUUGUAAAGCACUUUAAGUUGGGAGGAAGGGCAGUAAGUUAAUACCUUGCUGUUUUGACGUUACCAACAGAAUAAGCACCGGCUAACUUCGUG
This 484-nucleotide ribosomal RNA is filed under the name uncultured bacterium. Its description in RNAcentral is "partial 16S ribosomal RNA". It matches the Rfam family "Bacterial small subunit ribosomal RNA", at positions 30 to 507 of the family's 1533-position model. The record is from RNAcentral.